ACUCCUGCGGGAGGCAGCAGUGGGGAAUUUUGGACAAUGGGCGAAAGCCUGAUCCAGCCAUGCCGCGUGCAGGAUGAAGGCCUUCGGGUUGUAAACUGCUUUUGUACGGAACGAAACGGCCUUUUCUAAUAAAGAGGGCUAAUGACGGUACCGUAAGAAUAAGCACCGGCUAACUACGUGCCAGCAGCCGCGGUAAUACGUAGGGUGCAAGCGUUAAUCGGAAUUACUGGGCGUAAAGCGUGCGCAGGCGGUUAUAUAAGACAGUUGUGAAAUCCCCGGGCUCAACCUGGGAACUGCAUCUGUGACUGCAUAGCUAGAGUACGGUAGAGGGGGAUGGAAUUCCGCGUGUAGCAGUGAAAUGCGUAGAUAUGCGGAGGAACACCGAUGGCGAAGGCAAUCCCCUGGACCUGUACUGACGCUCAUGCACGAAAGCGUGGGGAGCAAACAGGAUUAGAUACCCUAGUAGUCCCA
This 471-nucleotide ribosomal RNA is filed under the name uncultured organism. RNAcentral describes it as "partial 16S ribosomal RNA". It matches the Rfam family "Bacterial small subunit ribosomal RNA", at positions 335 to 797 of the family's 1533-position model. The record is from RNAcentral.